AGUGAACGCUGGCGGUAGGCCUAACACAUGCAAGUCGAACGGCAGCACAGUAAGAGCUUGCUCUUACGGGUGGCGAGUGGCGGACGGGUGAGGAAUACAUCGGAAUCUACUUUUUCGUGGGGGAUAACGUAGGGAAACUUACGCUAAUACCGCAUACGACCUACGGGUGAAAGCAGGGGAUCUUCGGACCUUGCGCGAUUGAAUGAGCCGAUGUCGGAUUAGCUAGUUGGCGGGGUAAAGGCCCACCAAGGCGACGAUCCGUAGCUGGUCUGAGAGGAUGAUACCGCCACUGGGAAGUGGACACGCGGACCAGCUCCCGAGGGGCGGCGCCGGGGGGAAUUGUUGGAAAUGGGCGGGAACCUUGCACAACCAGACCGGGGGGGGUGAAGAGGGCCUUGGGUUUGAAAGCCGUUUUUGUGGGAAAAAAAAAGCAGCAGUUUAACCCCCCCUUGUUCGACCGUACCCAAAAAAAAAGCCCCGGCCAACUUCGUG
RNAcentral lists this ribosomal RNA (492 nucleotides) under uncultured bacterium. RNAcentral describes it as "partial 16S ribosomal RNA". It matches the Rfam family "Bacterial small subunit ribosomal RNA", at positions 29 to 507 of the family's 1533-position model. The record is from RNAcentral.